UACGGAGGGCGCGAGCGUUGUUCGGAAUUACUGGGCGUAAAGCGCGUGUAGGCGGCCUGACAAGUCGAAUGUGAAAUCCCGGAGCUCAACUCCGGAACUGCAUACGAUACUGUUAGGCUCGAGUCUCGGAGAGGACGGCGGAAUUUCCGGUGUAGAGGUGAAAUUCGUAGAUAUCGGAAGGAACACCAGUGGCGAAGGCGGCCGUCUGGACGAUGACUGACGCUGAGACGCGAAAGCGUGGGGAGCAAAC
Molecule: ribosomal RNA, 250 nt
Filed under: uncultured bacterium
Lineage: Bacteria
Description: partial 16S ribosomal RNA
Rfam family: Bacterial small subunit ribosomal RNA
Source: RNAcentral